RNAcentral lists this ribosomal RNA (485 nucleotides) under uncultured bacterium. RNAcentral's name for it is "bacterial SSU rRNA". It matches the Rfam family "Bacterial small subunit ribosomal RNA", at positions 29 to 507 of the family's 1533-position model. The record is from RNAcentral.
AUUGAACGCUGGCGGCAUGCCUAACACAUGCAAGUCGAGCGGCAGCGCGGGGGCAACCCUGGCGGCGAGUGGCGAACGGGUGAGUAAUGCAUCGGAACGUGCCCAUCGAUGGGGGAUAACUGCGCGAAAGCGUUGCUAAUACCGCAUACGACCUACGGGUGAAAGCAGGGGACCGCAAGGCCUUGCGUCGAUGGAGCGGCCGAUGCCGGAUUAGCUAGUUGGUGAGGUAAAGGCUCACCAAGGCGACGAUCCGUAGCUGGUCUGAGAGGACGACCCAGCCACACUGGGACUGAGACACGGCCCAGACUCCUACGGGAGGCAGCAGUGGGGAAUCUUGGACAAUGGGCGAAAGCCUGAUCCAGCAAUGCCGCGUGUGGGAAGAAGGCCCUCGGGUUGUAAACCACUUUUGGCGGGAAAGAAAUGGUCUGUGCUAAUACCACGGAUUGAUGACGGUACCCGCAGAAUAAGCACCGGCUAACUACGUG